This 253-nucleotide ribosomal RNA is filed under the name uncultured bacterium. Its description in RNAcentral is "partial 16S ribosomal RNA". It matches the Rfam family "Bacterial small subunit ribosomal RNA", at positions 524 to 776 of the family's 1533-position model. The record is from RNAcentral.
UACGGGGGGGGCAAGCGUUGUUCGGAAUUACUGGGCGUAAAGGGCUCGUAGGCGGCCAACUAAGUCAGACGUGAAAUCCCCAGGCUUAACCUGGGAACUGCGUCUGAUACUGGAUGGCUUGAAUUCGGGAGAGGGAUGCAGAAUUCCAGGUGUAGCGGUGAAAUGCGUAGAUAUCUGGAGGAACACCGGUGGCGAAGGCGGCAUCCUGGACCGAGAUUGACGCUGAGGCGCGAAAGCCAGGGGAGCAAACGGG